This is a non-coding RNA of Ceratotherium simum simum (southern white rhinoceros), 303 nucleotides long. The record is from RefSeq and is a predicted model, not a curated record. NCBI's taxonomy places the organism in Eukaryota, Metazoa, Chordata, Mammalia, Perissodactyla, Rhinocerotidae.
AAUAAAGGAACCAUGCCGGUUGCUGUGACUCCACACACAGAGCGAAGAAAUCCUCUGCGAACCCUGUGGGUUUAUAGAAGUCUAUCAAUCACUCUGUCAGUCUUCCGGAUCAUUAUUCAAGUUGCUGUCCCCAAUUUUGCUGGAUAUAUCAGAUCAGCUCCAGCUCCAUAGGCCCUUCCCAGCUCUGGGAUAUGAGGUGGACAGUGUGUUUUUCUUCCUAUUUUUAAAGACAACAAAGUGGAAAACUGGUGAAUAUUAUAAGGACACACUGAAGAAUGCACUCUUACUAAGGCAAUAAAAAAG